AUCCAAGGAGGAGGGUCUUGAGCUAACUCUAGCCAUGAGUCAAUAUAUGGAGAUUGAUCCGGGUGUCCUGGCUCUCCUGUGAUUACUGCAUUGACUGCUUCCACUAUUUUUUAGUUUGUGGUGUCCUCUGCCAUUCUGCCUCCUUCCUAAUUGGGAGCUCCAGAUUCAUCUGAUGUCUGUCUUCUCAACUGGAUUAUAUCUUGAUUUCUAGAGAGGCUUUCUCCGUUCAGAUGCCAAAAAUAAUACCACUAGCAGUAUUUUGUCCAACCUGUGUGUUUUGCAAGUGCAAUGAGAGGAAACAUACUGUCUUAAUGCAUCAAGAAUACAUCUGCAGAUGGAGAUGUCUACAUGUGGAUAUAAAGUACGAGUCCAUAUUUAUGCUCAUGUAUGUUAAAGAAUAAGGUACAUGGACAUAUCUUUAAUGUUUCAUUUUUAUUCUUAAAAUUUUGCAAAUACUUUCAUAUGUAAUUUAUGAAAACUUCAAAAUAAAAAUAUUUUAAAG
This is a long non-coding RNA of Bubalus bubalis (water buffalo), 502 nucleotides long. RefSeq lists it as uncharacterized. The transcript is spliced from 3 exons. The record is from RefSeq and is a predicted model, not a curated record. NCBI's taxonomy places the organism in Eukaryota, Metazoa, Chordata, Mammalia, Artiodactyla, Bovidae.